AUUUAUUCAACUGUUACAACCAUGUUCCUAGAGAUUGCUGGACAGAGCUUUUUUUUCUGUUUUUGUUUUGAAUAUAAGUUCAUUUUCGCAAAUAUUGUUUCUGUUUCAACAUUAGUCCCCCCUAAUGUAGAGGACGAUCUUGUCUGGCAGCUUUUACAAUCAGAGACAUGAUCUGAAUGCACUGUUGUGCCAAACACAUGUGCUUUUCCGAGAAGAGCUCUAUAAAUUUACUAUAGGCUCUUGUUGGUGUUCCUUUCUUUUCUUAUGUAUUUAGUUAUUCAUUUCCAUUAUUAUUCACAUGAGUACAUGUCUGAUGUUAUCUGUCUAUUUUGCUAUGAAAAUAUUCCAACAAAUUAUGAAACAAAGAACUGAAAAACACUUGAAACAUAUUUACAAAUAUGACUUGAUACAAUCUUUGGGUUAUGGUACUAUGUAAUGUCAUAUUUACUCUCAUGUCGUGAGGCACUCUGUGUAAAACUUCAGAAAACUGUUCUUCUGUGCUGUGAAACAGAAGUGCACAUUAUACAACAACUUUUUGUAUAAUCGUAUAUUGUGGUUCUUAGGAUAUUUAAAAGUAGAAUGGGAAGCAGAGCCUUCAGCUUUCAGGCCUCUCUUCUGUGGAACCAGUUUCCAGUUUUGAUUCAGACACCUUCUCUACUUUCACGAUUAGGUUUAAAACUUUCCUCUAUGACAAAGCAGAUAGUUAGGCCUGGAUCGAGUAACUCUGAAUCUUCCCUUAGUCACGCUGCAAUAAGCCUCCACUUUUGAGGGCUUCCCAUGAUGCACUGCAUAUUCCUUCUUCACUCACCUUUCACUCACUGUGUGACUGUGUUUACAGACCACUUUGCAUUUAAUCAUUAAGUAAGUAAGUAAAGUUUAUUUAUUUUCUUAGACAAGCAGUCACAAAGCUCUGUAGAAAAAGUUAAAAUAAAGAAAACAUUAGGUAAUAUAAUAAACCAUAUAAACAAUGCAAAUUCAAAACAAUUCAAAAGCGUUGAUCAAUAGAAGGCCUGUUUAAACAAAAAAAGUUUUUAACUGCUUUUUAAGGAUUCCACAGAGUAAACCAAACGCAGUUGUGGAGGUAAACUGUUCCACAGCCUUGGUGCCACAGACUGAAAGGCUCUGUCCCCUUUCGUCUUCAGUUGUGUACGGGGAACAACCAGCAAACUCUGAGACUAAACAAACAUAUUACUGCUAAAUACACAGUCAAGAAUGGGGAACCAAGUGCCAAAGGAGAGUGACAUGGGCUGCUGCCUCAGAUGUUGCAAAUGUUCUAAAGUCCUGCCUCCAUGCAAAUCGUUUGAUGACUUCUAUAAAUGUUGUAUUGGUGGCCGAGAGGUAUAUGUGUAUAAUGGAGGGCAAUACUACAGACCAGUUGGUUAUGAUGACGCGUAUGAGUGCAGUUGUUGCUUUAAUAAGCAAUAAGCAAAGGUUUAUUAUUAUCUUUUUCUUUUUCAGACUGUACAUUAUCGAAAAAGUUAAAUCCUAACUGCUUGCUUUGCCAUUGUGACUCAAUGUCAACUGUAAAUUUAAGACAGGCUUUGUGCUGUUUUUGCUUAUUUGUUUUUAUUUUAGUGACUUUGAGACUAGUUACUUUAGUGGCUUUAAUAUAAUCUGAAUAUAAUACAUUAUAUAACACAACAAAAUAAUUAGAAAUGCUGUUAAAAUAGCAACAAAAAAUGUUCUUUCUGUUCUGGCAAAAAUCCUCAUGUUUUGCAAAAUCAGAUAAAUUGAUAUUUCUAAUUUACCUUUUUUUUUUAAGCCGAAGCACAAAGAGAACACAAAGACUCACAAAAUGCUGUAAUAAAGUUUCCUCUCAGACUACA
Molecule: long non-coding RNA, 1826 nt
Organism: Oreochromis aureus
Lineage: Eukaryota; Metazoa; Chordata; Actinopteri; Cichliformes; Cichlidae
Exons: 2
Source: RefSeq, a predicted model, not a curated record